UUAUUACAGUUGAACUUAUCUCGAACUUGGCUGGUACACUACCGUGUCUACUAAUGAGCACAAUGUAUGCCUACAUGACAAAUACCUAUGUUUCAUUUGCCUGUUCGAUGUGUAAUUGUUACGGUUAGGAUUAAUUUUUAGUAAAAUGAACAAAUUAUAGAGUUUAAAUGGAUUCAUUGACGGCAAUUCAUGCUUGUUGGUGAAAAUGAUGGCGGUAAAUAUAUUAGGUCGUAUCCUUGUAUUGGCGCUUAUGCUGACCAUCGUCGGUUCACUCUACUAUCAUGAACCAUCACACAUUGAGAUAAAGCCGUCUUUAGAAGAAAUCAGCAACACUACAGACUUUGGAUUUUCUUUAGCUUAUCAACCUGGAGCUAAACCACAAUUAGUGGUUGGUGCCCCUCAUUAUGACCUCGUGGGCAGGGUGUAUGGCUGUCCCAUGGCUCAAAUAUUCAAAAAGUCUCAGGAAUGUUCAAAACUGGAUAUAGAUCUCCUCGCCUUGGCCAGUGAUUACGAGAAAAAUAACACAAAACAGCCUUUUUGUCUGGGUGGAACGGUAGCUGCUACUAAGGAUUAUGUGUUUACUUGCGCUCCGUUGUGGACGACAGUUGUCUCAAUACGCAGUGGUUACAAAGUCGGCGGCUCAUAUGGCACUUGCUUUGUAUACUAUAACCAAACCAGUGUGCAAAGAUUUCGCGGCCUUCUGGAACAAACGAGGGGCCGCAAUUACCCAAACAUAUAUGGAGGAGUGGGCUGGAGUUCCAUAGUCGAGGAAACCAGUCAGCUUCUCGUAGGAAAGCCUGCGGUGAGAGGAGACAUUCAAUACGUCUCCGCUGCGCACCCUCUAAGUGAUACUGUGUCUGUGGCUAUUCAAUCUCGCCUAGAACAAAGUCAGCAAGUCGGAUAUGCGCUCGCAUUUGGUAAAUUUUUUUCAAACAUACAUUCGCUAUUGUACGCCUUUAGUUUCCGAGAUGAAGAAAAAGGACAAGUAGGUUUUCUUCAAUAUGAUCAAAAGAACAGCAAAAUGAACCUUGUAAAGUACCAGGGAGAGAACAAUAUCCGGUACGAGGUGAUAGUGUCAUCUCCUGUAGCCAUGAACAUGUUUGGGGCGGCAUUAGGUGCCUGUGACAUCAACGGCGAUGGGGUCACUGACCUAAUAGUGGGUGCGCCGGCGCAUACCUCCUACGAGACCAGUUACGACGCUGGCGCCAUCUACAUUUAUUUAGGGGGUGAUUUGACAACUCUGACAAAUCCGUUCGGAAAAAUUAAUGAUUAUAAAAUGACGAUUGUAAGUGACAAAGAUGGCGCUCGUUUUGGGACCAGCAUUGCUUCCAGUGAUAUUGACGGAGAUGCUUUAUCAGAGAUAUUUGUGAGUGCCCCGUAUGAGGACUCGGCAGUUGGAGCAUUGUAUAUUCUGUCAGGAUUUGAGCUGACUCGUAUAAUGAAGAAAUCGAAGACCACAGACUUAUACUUGUCAAACUUAAAGCUUACCCAAAGAAUUCAGAAGGCGGACUUUAGAUCAUACGGGUAUAGUCUACAAGUAGUUUCUGAUGUCGAUAAGAAUGGAUGUGAUGAACUAGCGGUGGGCGCUCCUGGAAGUGCCAGUGUCGACUUCUUCAGAUGUGUUCCUGCCAUCAACGUCUCACUAUCCACCGAGCCCAUUAACACGAUUGUAAAGGAAUACGACAGCCAUUUUGAGGUCAAAGUUUGUGUGACGGUUUCCUACCAUUCAAAACCAGCGAAUAUAACCACAAAGCUUUCGGUACUAAGCGAAGUGGUGGGCAACAGUGCCGAGAUUAAAAAACCAAGAUUCGAUGUGCCUUUAGAACACCGAAAGGGACGUUAUUGCGAGAAUGUCGUAGUCAAUUUUAUGUAUAACGAGUCAGGACUGUAUACCUUCUCGUCCAAGUUGGAGUCCGAUAUUGAUAAACAACUGAAAUUAAAAGAUUUUGAUCCUGGAUGGGUGCAGAUGAGCGUCUACAGCAAGAGAGAAGAUUCAGUGGAAGUGACACGCCAGUGUUCUGAUGUAAAUGACUGCACGCCACGGCUGGAGAUGCACUUGUUGUGGGCUGGCAGUGAAGACACCACAGAAUGGCCAUUGAGCGUUAAUACGGUACAGAACGUAACGGUGUUGGUAGAGAACAAGGGAGCGAACGCGUACGAUGCGUGUGUGCGCGUACGCAUGAGUGGAGCGCGGGUGCUGAACGUCGCGUGCGGCCUCGACGACACGGGCGCGUACAAGUGCUACUUGCCGAAACCUUUAACUAGGGGACAAAAGUAUCCUUUGAAAAUUAUAGUAAGCUUGGAUGAGGUUACGAACAACGAUGAUGGGUUUCACAUUGUAGCUGCUUUGUCCAACAACUGUAACUCGGGAAAUGCAUCGAUAGUGCAAAAACACAUCAAGUAUCAAUUUCCGACUGAUAAUAUAAAGGUUACCGGACACCCUCACACGCUUGACGUGACGGAGACGACAUUACAAGAUAAAAAGAAUCCAUUAACUGACGACAGACACAAAUAUAGUAUUGUAAAUUCUGGUUCUGUGCACUGGAAAAACAUCAAAGUCGUUGUUACAAUAGUUAAAAGAGAUUUUAUUCAAAAUUAUACGGCAACAACAACUGCUGUAAACAGCCAGUGCACAACAACUGUAGGAGAUGAAGUACAUUUCAAUUGUACUGUGGAUUUGAUACCCCAAAUUCCUGUUUCUAUCAUAAUUUCAGUUGAAAUUGUAAACAGUAAAAUUUUUGGAAACUUAGUUGAUGACAAGUUACUAAUAACAUCUAAUAUAUCUGUGCCGUUGAAACCAACGUCGACAGUAAUUUCAAAGAGUCAAACGUCGACGAUAAAUUUUGUUAAGGAGUUGUCUCUGAAGAACAAUAAGGCUGUAAUUAUAAUCAUCGCCAUUAUAGUAGCUAUUGUAAUAAUGUGCCUACUGAUGUAUAUCCUGUUUAGAAUGGGUUUCUUCCAAAGGAAAGAAAAGCAACGCUUGGAUUCGUUAAAGGAGAGCGUUAAAAGCAAGGGUUCUAAACCUUCAACGUCAGAGACUGCGAAAGAAGGUCGCAAAGAAUCUAAAGAAGAAGACAAUAUGGAUGAUUUUGAAAUAGAAAUCAUAGAAGACUGUCCGUUUGACCCUACGCCAGUCCGUACAUCUUCAACUGCAAAUCUUGUCGUUGAAAAAGCUAGUUAACAUUCUCAAAUCAAAUCGUCAGUAAAUUCUUUAAUAAAUAAGUGUGUAAGUAGAGUUUGAAGAGGAAGGCAUAGACGUACAGUCAUGAGCAAUAUAAUGUACCCACUUUAGGACUCUGUCGCACUAACAUAUUUGACAUUUAGUG
RNAcentral lists this unclassified non-coding RNA (3326 nucleotides) under Pectinophora gossypiella (pink bollworm). RNAcentral's name for it is "integrin alpha-IIb-like". Lineage: Eukaryota; Metazoa; Arthropoda; Insecta; Lepidoptera; Gelechiidae. The record is from RNAcentral.